AACUGUUUUUCUAUUCUACAUGCUGCAUAUGACAUAGAAAUAUUGAAAUGGCAGUCACAAUAUAAUAACACUCUAACAUCUUUCUCAAGUGUUCAUAUGAGAAGGCUUUCAUGGAAGUAGGCUAUGAUUUCAACAAUUGUGAAAUUCAUUCUUCCAUAAACUAAAAUUUAUACAUUAAUCACUGAAUCCUAAACGGAAAAUAUGAACCCUAAUCGAAUGG
RNAcentral lists this long non-coding RNA (220 nucleotides) under Brassica napus (rape). RNAcentral's name for it is "long non-coding RNA (BNAP_LNC003412)". Lineage: Eukaryota; Viridiplantae; Streptophyta; Magnoliopsida; Brassicales; Brassicaceae. The record is from RNAcentral.